Molecule: ribosomal RNA, 381 nt
Filed under: uncultured Bacillus sp.
Lineage: Bacteria; Bacillati; Bacillota; Bacilli; Caryophanales; Bacillaceae
Description: bacterial SSU rRNA
Rfam family: Bacterial small subunit ribosomal RNA
Source: RNAcentral
GGCUUCUCCUUCGGGAGCAGAGUGACAGGUGGUGCAUGGUUGUCGUCAGCUCGUGUCGUGAGAUGUUGGGUUAAGUCCCGCAACGAGCGCAACCCUUGAUCUUAGUUGCCAUCAUUAAGUUGGGCACUCUAAGGUGACUGCCGGUGACAAACCGGAGGAAGGUGGGGAUGACGUCAAAUCAUCAUGCCCCUUAUGACCUGGGCUACACACGUGCUACAAUGGACGGUACAAAGAGCUGCAAGACCGCGAGGUGGAGCUAAUCUCAUAAAACCGUUCUCAGUUCGGAUUGUAGGCUGCAACUCGCCUACAUGAAGCUGGAAUCGCUAGUAAUCGCGGAUCAGCAUGCCGCGGUGAAUACGUUCCCGGGCCUUGUACACACCG